AUGUUGAACAUAGACUCAGAUAUAUACAGGCUGACAGACAUGUUGAACAUAGACUCAGAUAUAUACAGGCUGACAGACAUGUUGAAUAUAGACUCAGAUAUAUACAGGCUGACAGACAUGUUGAACAUAGACUCAGAUAUAUACAGGCUGACAGACAUGUUGAACAUAGACUCAGAUAUAUACAGGCUGACAGACAUGUUGAAUAUAGACUCAGAUAUAUACAGGCUGACAGACAUGUUGAAUAUAGACUCAGAUAUAUACAGGCUGACAGACAUGUUGAACAUAGACUCAGAUAUAUACAGGCUGACAGACAUGUUGAACAUAGACUCAGAUAUAUACAGGCUGACAGACAUGUUGAACAUAGACUCAGAUAUAUACAGGCUGACAGACAUGUUGAAUAUAGACUCAGAUAUAUACAGGCUGACAGACAUGUUGAACAUAGACUCAGAUAUAUACAGGCUGACAGACAUGUUGAACAUAGACUCAGAUAUAUACAGGCUGACAGACAUGUUGAAUAUAGACUCAGAUAUAUACAGGCUGACAGACAUGUUGAAUAUAUACUCAGAUAUAUACAGGCUGACAGACAUGUUGAACAUAGACUCAGAUAUAUACAGGCUGACAGACAUGUUGAACAUAGACUCAGAUAUAUACAGGCUGACAGACAUGUUGAACAUAGACUCAGAUAUAUACAGGCUGACAGACAUGUUGAACAUAGACUCAGAUAUAUACAGGCUGACAGACAUGUUGAACAUAGACUCAGAUAUAUACAGGCUGACAGACAUGUUGAACAUAGACUCAGAUAUAUACAGGCUGACAGACAUGUUGAACAUAGACUCAGAUAUAUACAGGCUGACAGACAUGUUGAACAUAGACUCAGAUAUAUACAGGCUGACAGACAUGUUGAACAUAGACUCAGAUAUAUACAGGCUGACAGACAUGUUGAAUAUAGACUCAGAUAUAUACAGGCUGACAGACAUGUUGAAUAUAUACUCAGAUAUAUACAGGCUGACAGACAUGUUGAACAUAGACUCAGAUAUAUACAGGCUGACAGACAUGUUGAACAUAGACUCAGAUAUAUACAGGCUGACAGACAUGUUGAACAUAGACUCAGAUAUAUACAGGCUGACAGACAUGUUGAACAUAGACUCAGAUAUAUACAGGCUGACAGACAUGUUGAACAUAGACUCAGAUAUAUACAGGCUGACAGACAUGUUGAACAUAGACUCAGAUAUAUACAGGCUGACAGACAUGUUGAACAUAGACUCAGAUAUAUACAGGCUGACAGACAUGUUGAAUAUAUACUCAGAUAUAUACAGGCUGACAGACAUGUUGAAUAUAUACUCAGAUAUAUACAGGCUGACAGACAUGUUGAACAUAGACUCAGAUAUACCCUAA
This 1395-nucleotide long non-coding RNA is filed under the name Oncorhynchus mykiss (rainbow trout). RNAcentral describes it as "lncRNA (ENSOMYG00000060020.1)". The record is from RNAcentral. Lineage: Eukaryota; Metazoa; Chordata; Actinopteri; Salmoniformes; Salmonidae.